RNAcentral lists this ribosomal RNA (460 nucleotides) under uncultured bacterium. RNAcentral's name for it is "partial 16S ribosomal RNA". It matches the Rfam family "Bacterial small subunit ribosomal RNA", at positions 338 to 795 of the family's 1533-position model. The record is from RNAcentral.
CCUACGGGGGGCAGCAGUGAGGAAUAUUGGUCAAUGGGCGGAAGCCUGAACCAACCAAGUAGCGUGCAGGAUGACGGCCCUAUGGGUUGUAAACUUCUUUUAUAUGGGAAUAAAAUGUUCCACGUGUGGGAUUUUGUAUGUACCAUAUGAAUAAGGAUCGGCUAACUCCGUGCCAGCAGCCGCGGUAAUACGGAGGAUCCGAGCGUUAUCCGGAUUUAUUGGGUGUAAAGGGAGCGUAGGUGGAUUGUUAAGUCAGUUGUGAAAGUUUGUGGCUCAACCGUAAAAUUGCAGUUGAAACUGGCAGUCUUGAGUACAGUAGAGGUGGGCGGAAUUCGUGGUGUAGCGGUGAAAUGCUUAGAUAUCACGAAGAACUCCGAUGGCGAAGGCAGCUCACUGGACUGCAACUGACACUGAGGCUCGAAAGUGUGGGUAUCAAACAGGAUUAGAUACCCCUGUAGUC